AGAGUUUGAUCCUGGCUCAGAACGAACGCUGGCGGCGUGCCUAACACAUGCAAGUCGUACGAGAAAUCCUGGGCAACUGGGAAAGUAAAGUGGCGCACGGGUGAGUAACGCGUGGGUAACCUACCCUUGGACUUGGGAUAACUCCGCGAAAGCGGGGUUAAUACCGAAUGAUAUUCCGAUUUCUAUGGGGAUCGGAAUCAAAGGUGGCCUCUGCAUGCAAGCUACUGUCUAAGGAUGGGCCCGCGUACCAUUAGCUAGUUGGCAGGGUAAUGGCCUACCAAGGCAACGAUGGUUAGCUGGUCUUAGGGGAUGGCCAGCCACACUGGAACUGAGACACGGUCCAGACUCCUACGGGAGGCAGCAGUGGGGAAUCUUGCGCAAUGGGGGAAACCUUGACGCAGCAACGCCGCGUGGGUGAUGAAGGCCUUCGGGUCGUAAAGCCCUGUCAGGUGGGAAGAAACAUAUCGGUGCUAAUAUCACAGAUGUUUGACGGUACCGCCGGAGGAAGCACCGGCUAACUCCGUGCCAGCAGCCGCGGUAAUACGGAGGGUGCAAGCGUUGUUCGGAAUUACUGGGCGUAAAGCGCGUGUAGGCGGUCGGGCAAGUCAGAUGUGAAAGCCUUCCGCUUAACGGAAGAAGUGCAUUUGAUACUACCCGGCUGGAGUACGGGAGAGGAGAGUGGAAUUCCCGGUGUAGAGGUGAAAUUCGUAGAUAUCGGGAGGAACACCAGUGGCGAAGGCGGCUCUCUGGUCCGAUACUGACGCUGAGACGCGAAAAGCGUGGGGGAGCAAACAGGGAUU
This 800-nucleotide ribosomal RNA is filed under the name uncultured bacterium. RNAcentral's name for it is "bacterial SSU rRNA". It matches the Rfam family "Bacterial small subunit ribosomal RNA", at positions 8 to 779 of the family's 1533-position model. The record is from RNAcentral.